Molecule: small RNA, 51 nt
Filed under: Sinorhizobium meliloti 2011
Lineage: Bacteria; Pseudomonadati; Pseudomonadota; Alphaproteobacteria; Hyphomicrobiales; Rhizobiaceae
Description: putative ncRNA
Source: RNAcentral
GGAACACGAAGAGGACGACGUCGGCGUCCUGUUCGAUCGAGCCCGAUUCAC